This 274-nucleotide ribosomal RNA is filed under the name uncultured bacterium. RNAcentral describes it as "partial 16S ribosomal RNA". It matches the Rfam family "Bacterial small subunit ribosomal RNA", at positions 523 to 796 of the family's 1533-position model. The record is from RNAcentral.
AUACGGAGGGUGCAAGCGUUAAUCGGAAUUACUGGGCGUAAAGCGUACGUAGGCGGUUUGAUAAGUCAGAUGUGAAAGCCCCGGGCUCAACCUGGGAACUGCAUUUGAAACUGUCAGACUAGAGUUUGGUAGAGGGUAGUAGAAUUCCUGGUGUAGCGGUGAAAUGCGUAGAUAUCAGGAGGAAUACCAGUGGCGAAGGCGGCUACCUGGACCAAAACUGACGCUGAGGUACGAAAGCGUGGGGAGCAAACAGGAUUAGAUACCCCGGUAGUCC